GCUACGGUAGUGCAAAGGUUCAGCGCGCACUCACGGAAAGAGUGAGAUCUGGGUUCGAACUCCAGCUGACGCAAACG
Parelaphostrongylus tenuis is the source of this 77-nucleotide non-coding RNA. Lineage: Eukaryota; Metazoa; Nematoda; Chromadorea; Rhabditida; Metastrongylidae. The record is from the annotation of a GenBank genome assembly.